GACGAACGCUGGCGGCGUGCUUAACACAUGCAAGUCGAACGGUAAGGCCCUUCGGGGUACACGAGUGGCGAACGGGUGAGUAACACGUGGGUGAUCUGCCCUGCACUUCGGGAUAAGCCUGGGAAACUGGGUCUAAUACCGGAUAGGACUCCGGACUGCAUGGUCUGGGGUGGAAAGCUUUUGCGGUGUGGGAUGGGCCCGCGGCCUAUCAACUUGUUGGUGGGGUGAUGGCCUACCAAGGCGACGACGGGUAGCCGGCCUGAGAGGGUGGCCGGCCACGCUGGGACUGAGAUACGGCCCAGACUCCUACGGGAGGCAGCAGUGGGGAAUAUUGCACAAUGGGCGCAAGCCUGAUGCAGCGACGCCGCGUGAGGGAUGACGGCCUUCGGGUUGUAAACCUCUUUCAGCAUCGACGAAGCGAAAGUGACGGUAGGUGCAGAAGAAGGACCGGCCAACUACGUGCCAGCAGCCGCCGUAA
RNAcentral lists this ribosomal RNA (478 nucleotides) under uncultured bacterium. RNAcentral describes it as "partial 16S ribosomal RNA". It matches the Rfam family "Bacterial small subunit ribosomal RNA", at positions 28 to 523 of the family's 1533-position model. The record is from RNAcentral.